This 74-nucleotide transfer RNA is filed under the name Lepisorus ovatus. RNAcentral describes it as "Neocheiropteris ovata tRNA-Thr". It matches the Rfam family "tRNA". Rfam says of the family: Transfer RNA (tRNA) molecules are approximately 80 nucleotides in length. Their secondary structure includes four short double-helical elements and three loops (D, anti-codon, and T loops). The record is from RNAcentral. Lineage: Eukaryota; Viridiplantae; Streptophyta; Polypodiopsida; Polypodiales; Polypodiaceae.
AGCCCCCUUAACUCAGGGGUAGAGUGACGCCAUGGUAAGGCGUAAGUCGUCGGUUCAAAUCCGACAAGGGGCUA